UUCCUCCCUAGUGAAAUAGUCACCUCAGAAAUGAGAAUGAAAUAGACCAGCAGGAGAAACAGGGUGGUCCACUGAAAUACAGGUAUUGAUAUAUGGUCUAGAAGGGCAGCCUCAAACUUUGAACAGAUGCUACUCCUGAGGAGAAGAAUGACCCAACACUGCUGCUGGUCCAUGUAACAUCUUUAUGGCUGCUGCUGCUGCUGCUAAAUCGCUUCAGUCGGGUC
Molecule: long non-coding RNA, 224 nt
Organism: Bubalus bubalis (water buffalo)
Lineage: Eukaryota; Metazoa; Chordata; Mammalia; Artiodactyla; Bovidae
Exons: 3
Source: RefSeq, a predicted model, not a curated record